Molecule: ribosomal RNA, 458 nt
Filed under: uncultured bacterium
Lineage: Bacteria
Description: bacterial SSU rRNA
Rfam family: Bacterial small subunit ribosomal RNA
Source: RNAcentral
UCAGUUGUGAAAGUUUGCGGCUCAACCGUAAAAUUGCAGUUGAUACUGGAUAUCUUGAGUGCAGUUGAGGCAGGCGGAAUUCGUGGUGUAGCGGUGAAAUGCUUAGAUAUCACGAAGAACUCCGAUUGCGAAGGCAGCCUGCUAAGCUGCAACUGACAUUGAGGCUCGAAAGUGUGGGUAUCAAACAGGAUUAGAUACCCUGGUAGUCCACACGGUAAACGAUGAAUACUCGCUGUUUGCGAUAUACUGCAAGCGGCCAAGCGAAAGCGUUAAGUAUUCCACCUGGGGAGUACGCCGGCAACGGUGAAACUCAAAGGAAUUGACGGGGGCCCGCACAAGCGGAGGAACAUGUGGUUUAAUUCGAUGAUACGCGAGGAACCUUACCCGGGCUUGAAUUGCAACUGAAUGAUGUGGAGACAUGUCAGCCGCAAGGCAGUUGUGAAGGUGCUGCAUGGUAA